GGUCCUCUUUGACACCUACCUUACUCUCUCCCUCCACUCACACUCUGAGAACUGUGCUCAGGGGCAGCGCUACAACUUCCACAUUGGUCUUUACAGGGCUUGAGUGAUUAUUUCAAGAACAGAACGCUGUGUGGAAACCUUUACCAUAUUUCGUUGUAUCUAAGACACAUUUUUUUUUUUUGAAAUUUAACAUCUCUAAGGUUGGGUUAUGUUUCUUCAUCAUUGUCAGGUUGGAGCUUAAUCAGCAGCACUUUUUUUUAAUGUCACACACAGUAAUGGUGAUGCAUCUCACAAUUGAGAUCAUCUUAGACAUGAUGGAAUAUGGAAUCGUGUGCCUGUUACAAGCCAGGCUCUUGUCUGGGUUCUAGAGACGGUGGAAACCAAGACAGCACCAUCCUCUAGUGGUGUUCACAUCCCACCACAGUGGAGUCAGGACUUUGAAGUCCUCCAUUGGAUCUUCUCGGAAGAUGAGGGAAAUGAGAGAGUGUGGAGAGAGAUUUUGUAAGUCCGGUCUGGAAGUGGUCAUUGUUCAGAAUCCAGCCACGUGGGUACAUGGAACUGUAAGGCUAUUUCAACAUGGGAAACUGAAAUCGGGCAUAUCCCUGCGGAAGAAGCUGUCUCUUAGCGAAGAAUAAAACUGUGGACUGACCCCCACCCAUUUGCGAAGAAAGUACUGGGUCUUCAGCUUUCAUUGUUCAGCCGGUGGUCUUUGUGGACAACACCAGGGGCCCCUCCUGCUGAAGACUGUCUGGACUUCCUGAUUUUCACUCCUGUAUAAACCCCCUCCCCCAUUACUACCUUUGUCUCCUUGGGGAAAAAAAAUGUUUUUCACUUAAGCAAAAUAAUAACUACCCAGUAUUUGUUUCUGGAGUGAAAUUGUAAACUUCAUUGUACAUUCUUCCUGGCUUUGAUGCUUAUCGUGAAGAGUUCAGUGAAAAUAAAUUGUUUUUAU
RNAcentral lists this long non-coding RNA (952 nucleotides) under Homo sapiens (human). Its description in RNAcentral is "HSALNT0231168". Lineage: Eukaryota; Metazoa; Chordata; Mammalia; Primates; Hominidae. The record is from RNAcentral.